GGACCGUUAGUCUAGUUGGCUAGGACGUCGCCUUCACACGGCGAAGAUCACCGGUUCAAAUCCGGUACGGUCCACCA
Molecule: transfer RNA, 77 nt
Filed under: Nitrososphaerota archaeon
Lineage: Archaea; Thermoproteati; Nitrososphaerota
Also listed under: 3 other names
Description: tRNA-Val
Rfam family: tRNA
About the family: Transfer RNA (tRNA) molecules are approximately 80 nucleotides in length. Their secondary structure includes four short double-helical elements and three loops (D, anti-codon, and T loops).
Source: RNAcentral